RNAcentral lists this ribosomal RNA (427 nucleotides) under Pseudomonas sp. RNAcentral's name for it is "partial 16S ribosomal RNA". It matches the Rfam family "Bacterial small subunit ribosomal RNA", at positions 355 to 774 of the family's 1533-position model. The record is from RNAcentral. RNAcentral also lists the same sequence under 1 other name. Lineage: Bacteria; Pseudomonadati; Pseudomonadota; Gammaproteobacteria; Pseudomonadales; Pseudomonadaceae.
UAGGGAAUCUUCCGCAAUGGGCGAAAGCCUGACGGAGCAACGCCGCGUGAGUGAUGAAGGUCUUCGGAUCGUAAAACUCUGUUAUCAGGGAAGAACAAAUGUGUAAGUAACUGUGCACAUCUUGACGGUACCUGAUCAGAAAGCCACGGCUAACUACGUGCCAGCAGCCGCGGUAAUACGUAGGUGGCAAGCGUUAUCCGGAAUUAUUGGGCGUAAAGCGCGCGUAGGCGGUUUUUUAAGUCUGAUGUGAAAGCCCACGGCUCAACCGUGGAGGGUCAUUGGAAACUGGAAAACUUGAGUGCAGAAGAGGAAAGUGGAAUUCCAUGUGUAGCGGUGAAAUGCGCAGAGAUAUGGAGGAACACCAGUGGCGAAGGCGACUUUCUGGUCUGUAACUGACGCUGAUGUGCGAAAGCGUGGGGAUCAAACA